AUGACUGACUCAGGACUGCAAACAAAUUUUGCAGUCACCUCUCCAGUACAGGACCUGGUUAUUCCUGAGUGCCCUCUACAGCAGUACAGCACAAAUCACAUGUCAAUUAUCAUGGAUAAUGUAUUGAAUACAAGCCUAACUUAUAUAUACCAUAGCAGCACUGCUGAAAAGGACCUGGAAGUCUUGGAGAACAGGAGGCCAAACCCAAGCCAUCCACGUGCCCUGGCUGUGAGGAAGGUCAACAUCAUCCUGGGCUGUAGCAGAAGAAACAGGGCCAGGAGUCUGAGUAAACCAUUUUCUCAGCUCUUAUUAGACCACAGCUAGGUAUUGCAUGAAGCUUCAGGCCUCCGGUACAAACAGCACGGUGGUAAACAAGACAACUGUGGAGGACUGCAGCACCUGAACUGUGAGGAGAGAGACCCAGGCUCACUGAGCCAAGAGGCACCUAAUAGCAGCCCCCCAGUGCCUACGGAAAGGUAAAUAACAAGACAGAUUCAAGCUCUUCACCGUCAUGUAUGCUGGGAGGAUGGGAGGAUGAGAGACAGUUGACAUAAGUUGAAACGAGAGGUUCAGGCUGGAUGUAAGGAAAAUCUUUUCACUCUGAGGAUAGUGAGGCAGAACAGGUAGUCCAGAAAGGUUGUGUAACCUCCAUCACUGCAGAUUUUCAAGACCAGAAUACACAAAACACUGAGCUACCUGAUCUGAUCUGACCUCUGACCCUCCUUGGAAAAGGAGGUUGGACUAGAGACCUCUUGAAACCUCUUCCAAUAUGAGCUUUCCUGUGAUUCUAAACCCCUGGAAGGAAAAACAAGAUUUAACUUCUGAAUUUGAGGUGUCAGCAAAGAGAAUUUCUCCCUCAAUUUGUUCUUUACUACAUUUGGAAGUAGGUCUUAGUUGACAUUCAUUCUGAGUAGCAACAUUACAUCAAAGAAAUACUUUUGUCAUAUUCCAUCCUUAGCAGAAACAGCCUUCAAGACCUGAAAUGUAGUCAUCAAUACCAAUAAUAACAACGAAAAUACUUCAAUAUAAAGUUAUAGAAUAACCCUUAUACAGGGAUAAUUUUUAUAACAAUGCUUUAGCACUUGCUUGCAAACACGGUAAUUUAUGAUCUGUGAUCUCUUCUGUGAUCUGUCCUGACCACUAUAUGCAAUACCUGUUUUCUAGGGUAGGAUCAGCUUACUAAAUGUAAAUGUCUAACAGUGAGAUAAUCAUUCUGGCUGCUUUUAUGAAAGAGAAGCCAGCACCUUUAUCUUACGAGUCUUCAUAUCCCAUGUCUGAAAUAAAUCAAUACACUCACA
RNAcentral lists this long non-coding RNA (1298 nucleotides) under Anser brachyrhynchus (Pink-footed goose). RNAcentral describes it as "lncRNA (ENSABRG00000005014.1)". Lineage: Eukaryota; Metazoa; Chordata; Aves; Anseriformes; Anatidae. The record is from RNAcentral.